GUCUACGGCCAUGCCACCCCGAACAAGCCCGAUGUCUGAUCUCAGAAGCUAAGCAGGGUUGGGCCUGGUUAGUACUUGGAUGGAGACCACCUAGGAAGACCAGGUGCUAUAAGCA
This 115-nucleotide ribosomal RNA is filed under the name Pteropus alecto (black flying fox). The record is from RNAcentral. Lineage: Eukaryota; Metazoa; Chordata; Mammalia; Chiroptera; Pteropodidae.